RNAcentral lists this ribosomal RNA (290 nucleotides) under uncultured Wolbachia sp. RNAcentral describes it as "partial 16S ribosomal RNA". It matches the Rfam family "Bacterial small subunit ribosomal RNA", at positions 31 to 331 of the family's 1533-position model. The record is from RNAcentral. Lineage: Bacteria; Pseudomonadati; Pseudomonadota; Alphaproteobacteria; Rickettsiales; Anaplasmataceae.
GAACGCUGGCGGCAGGCCUAACACAUGCAAGUCGAACGGAGUUAUAUUGUAGCUUGCUAUGAUGUGACUUAGUGGCAGACGGGUGAGUAAUGUAUAGGAAUCUACCUAGUAGUACGGAAUAAUUGUUGGAAACGACAACUAAUACCGUAUACGCCCUACGGGGGAAAAAUUUAUUGCUAUUAGAUGAGCCUAUAUUAGAUUAGCUUGUUGGUGGGGUAAUAGCCUACCAAGGCAAUGAUCUAUAGCUGAUCUGAGAGGAUGAUCAGCCACACUGGAACUGAGAUACGGUC